Molecule: long non-coding RNA, 626 nt
Organism: Oryza brachyantha (malo sina)
Lineage: Eukaryota; Viridiplantae; Streptophyta; Magnoliopsida; Poales; Poaceae
Exons: 5
Source: RefSeq, a predicted model, not a curated record
UCCGCCCUCGCCGCGCCGCCCUCCUUCCCCUCCGUUCGAAUCCGGAUCUCCCUCGGGGUCGCCGGCGGCCACCUCGCGCGCAUGGCGGAUGAGGAGGUGUCUGACCCAAAGGCACUCCUAGAGGACCGAUCAAAGGCUAAGUGUGUGUCCCAAUGGUAUGAAUAUCAGAAAUGUGUCAAGAGAAUUGAAGAUGAUGAGACUGGCCAGAAGCACUGUACUGGUCAAUACUUCGAUUACUGGAAAUGUGUCGACAAAAGCGUUGCUGAGAAGCUUUUUGAUAGCCUAAAAUGACAUGGAAAAUGUUAUCUCUUGCUACCAUUUACUCAAAAGUGAGAAUAAUCAUAUCGCGUUUAUGUGCCCUGUAGACAUGUCAGGUGCUUAAUAUCUGUAAGAAACGAAGUUUUGCCUGUCGGGUAACACGACAGUUUUUCAACCGCCAAUUUACUUUUAUUUCUGCCUGAGGCAUUGAACUCUCUACAGCUGGGUUCGUACCGCAUUAGUAGUUCAGUCUUGUUUCUUAUUUUUCCUGAUGGUUCAUAAUUGAAAUACCCCCAGAUUGUGAAUUAGCACGGAAUGCUGCUACUGCCUUUUCCAUAAUAUUGCUACUAUGAUGGUUUUCCGUUAAA